UCAUACGUAGGACCCAAGCGUUAUUCGGAUUGAUUGGGCGUAAAGAGUUGCGUAGGCGGUUUGUUAAGCGAAUAGUGAAAUCUUGUGGCUCAACCAUAAGGCUAUUAUUCGAACUGGCAAACUCGAGAAUGGAAGAGAUAUCUGGAAUUCCCAGUGUAGGAGUGAAAUCCGUAGAUAUUGGGAGGAACACCAAUGGCGUAGGCAGGAUAUUGGUCCAUUUCUGACGCUAAGGCACGAAAGCGUGGGGAGCGAACGGGAUUAGAUACCCCGGUAGUCCACGCCGUAAACUAUGAAUACUAGCUGUAUGCCGUAUCGACCCGGUAUGUAGCGAAGCUAACGCGUUAAGUAUUCCGCCUGGGGAGUACGGUCGCAAGACUA
RNAcentral lists this ribosomal RNA (378 nucleotides) under uncultured bacterium. Its description in RNAcentral is "bacterial SSU rRNA". It matches the Rfam family "Bacterial small subunit ribosomal RNA", at positions 521 to 896 of the family's 1533-position model. The record is from RNAcentral.